GUGCCAGCAGCCGCGGUAAUACGAGAGGUCCAAACGUUAUUCGGAAUCACUGGGCUUACAGAGUUCGUAGGCGGUCCGGAAAGUGGGGUGUGAAAGCCCUCGGCUCAACCGAGGAAUUGCGCUCCAAACUACCGGGCUAGAGGAAGAUAGAGGUGAGCGGAACUGAUGGUGGAGCGGUGAAAUGCGUUGAUAUCAUCAGGAACACCGGAGGCGAAGGCGGCUCACUGGGUCUUUUCUGACGCUGAGGAACGAAAGCUAGGGGAGCAAACGGGAUUAGAAACCCGAGUAGUCC
RNAcentral lists this ribosomal RNA (292 nucleotides) under uncultured bacterium. RNAcentral describes it as "partial 16S ribosomal RNA". It matches the Rfam family "Bacterial small subunit ribosomal RNA", at positions 505 to 796 of the family's 1533-position model. The record is from RNAcentral.